UUAAGUGAUUCUUCUCCAUGCCCUAGGAGUGAGAAGCAUAAGCCAGUUGAGAAGGAAGCCGACUUGGCGGCCCUUUUGUUGGCUAAGGAACGAUUUACGAUGGAUAAACUCGUUCCUGAGGUGGAGGAUCCUGAUUAUGCUUUCUUUGAAAGUGUUUUGGUUCUGAAUCCUAAAGUGCUCCAUCUUAAUGCAGGGGGCUAUAAUCUGGAAAAUCAGUUUUUCCUGGACUUGGCGGCUCCUCGGAAAUGGGUGUCAACAGAGCAUAUGGAAGCAUUGAUAGAUUACGUGGGGGUGAG
Brassica oleracea var. oleracea is the source of this 296-nucleotide long non-coding RNA. RefSeq lists it as uncharacterized. The transcript is spliced from 3 exons. The record is from RefSeq and is a predicted model, not a curated record. NCBI's taxonomy places the organism in Eukaryota, Viridiplantae, Streptophyta, Magnoliopsida, Brassicales, Brassicaceae.